AUGGCUCGCGUUCAUCGUCAGAACGAUGAUGAUGAUUUCAUGGAUCCACCACAGCAUAAUCGGGCAACUGGACGGAGAAAAGAGGGCGAUGAGAAGAAGAAAUGUAUUCGCAACAGAGCCUCCCAAGAACAACUGACUACAUUGACUGACAGAUUUACCGACGAUCAGAAGGGAGCUGCUGCUGAGAUGGGUAUGCAGGCUCUGAUGAAUGUCCGGUGCACGAAUCUUGUCAACCAUGUAUGCGACUGGCUUGGUGAGAUUUACGACCCCGCCUCUAGGGAAUUUGUGAUUCCGGGACGUGGAAGACUACCGUUGAACGAGGAAUCUGUAUUCUGCACUUUGGGUGUGCCUCGUGGACAGAUCAAAGUCCCGUACGAGGCCAUGACAACCCAUGGAGAUGUUUUUAAGAUGAAGCUACUCAUGUACCUCAUCUCAGCUAUUUUCGCGCCGACCACUUUUCUUCGCCCAAGCAACAAAUGCUUCCCCAUCCUGGCAAAACUGGAAGAUGUGAAGAACAUGAAUUGGUGUAAGUUCAUAACCGACUUCCUGCACGACGCAUUCUCAAACAAGAUGUACCAAAAGGGUUGUCGACUGCAUUUAAUGCUCAUGUACGUCGACUGUCUUAAUCUGUCCACCGUGGAUUUCACUGGGACAGGAGGCCCGCCGCCUACGCACAAGUUUGCUGUUUCUGCAUGGACUAUCAACGCUGUCAAGGUUGUGCUUGCUGCAGACAGUCUGAUGGCCAAGCAUGCUAUAGACUACAGCGUGUUUGGGGGGCCUCAAAACUUUGGAAAGUGGAUGGACGUGCACUCAGCUCCGUCUUGCCCUACUGAGGCGAGGGCACCUGUUGAGCAUCUAAUUGGGCAGUUUGCAUCUGGAAUGACCGGCUUGCUCGGGAAGUUAGUUGAGGGGUGGACGUCUCUUAGUGGCUCUGACAGUGACGCGGUUGCGAGGCAGUUCACUUCAUUUGUCCCAGAACGGACACAUCGGCCAACUGGUUGUCGUGGCCGGUAUGACUACAACAAUUCCCAAGAGCUUGCUGACACACAAGAUGAACUAGAUGGAGACGCUGGUCUUAGCAAGGAUGACGACGAUGACAUGGAGAACACGGAAGAGGACACCGAUGAUGAUGAACAUGCUGAAGUUCGUGCAGGUGCUAACAAGGGGAAAGAUGCACCAGAUGUCCCCCCACCGGAGAAAGUCAAAGAACAUAUGGCUGCGAGAGGCAAGGGGGUGUUGCCAUGA
Molecule: ribosomal RNA, 1245 nt
Filed under: Triticum aestivum (bread wheat)
Lineage: Eukaryota; Viridiplantae; Streptophyta; Magnoliopsida; Poales; Poaceae
Description: partial small subunit ribosomal RNA
Source: RNAcentral